This 460-nucleotide ribosomal RNA is filed under the name uncultured bacterium. Its description in RNAcentral is "partial 16S ribosomal RNA". It matches the Rfam family "Bacterial small subunit ribosomal RNA", at positions 338 to 795 of the family's 1533-position model. The record is from RNAcentral.
CCUACGUGAGACAGCAGUGAGGAAUAUUGGUCAAUGGGCUUACGCCUGAACCAGCCAAGUCGCGUGAGGGACGACUGCCCUAUGUGUUGUAAACCUCUUUUGUCAGGGAGCAACGCCGGCUACGUGUAGCCGGACUGAGAGUACCUGAAGAAAAAGCAUCGGCUAACUCCGUGCCAGCAGCCGCGGUACUACGGAGGAUGCGAGCGUUAUCCGGAUUUAUUGGGUUUAAAGGGUGCGUAGGCGGAAUGCAAAGUCAGCGGUAAAAUCGCGGGGCUCAACCUCGCUCCGACGUUGAAACUGGCGUUCUUGAGUGGGCGAGAAGUAUGCUGAAUGCGUGGUGUAGCGGUGAAAUGCAUAGAUAUCACGCAGAACUCCGAUUGCGAAGGCAGCAUACCGGCGCCCAACUGACGCUGAAGCACGAAAGCGUGGGUAUCGAACAGGAUUAGAUACCCUAGUAGUC